CCUACGGGAGGCAGCAGUGAGGAAUAUUGGUCAAUGGACGAGAGUCUGAACCAGCCAAGUAGCGUGAAGGAUGACUGCCCUAUGGGUUGUAAACUUCUUUUAUCUGGGAAUAAAAUGUUCCACGUGUGGGAUUUUGUAUGUACCAUAUGAAUAAGGAUCGGCUAACUCCGUGCCAGCAGCCGCGGUAAUACGGAGGAUCCGGGCGUUAUCCGGAUUUUUUGGGGUUAAAGGGGGCGUAGGUGGAUUGUUAAGUUAGUUGUGAAAGUUUGGGGCUCAACCGUAAAAUUGCAGUUGAAACUGGCAGUCUUGAGUACAGUAGAGGUGGGCGGAAUGCGUGGUGUAGCGGUGAAAUGCAUAGAUAUCACGAAGAACUCCGAUUGCGAAGGCAGCUCACUGGACUGCAACUGACACUGAGGCACGAAAGUGUGGGUAUCAAACAGGAUUAGAUACCCCAGUAGUC
RNAcentral lists this ribosomal RNA (460 nucleotides) under uncultured bacterium. RNAcentral's name for it is "partial 16S ribosomal RNA". It matches the Rfam family "Bacterial small subunit ribosomal RNA", at positions 338 to 795 of the family's 1533-position model. The record is from RNAcentral.